Molecule: ribosomal RNA, 566 nt
Filed under: Cariama cristata (Red-legged seriema)
Lineage: Eukaryota; Metazoa; Chordata; Aves; Cariamiformes; Cariamidae
Description: partial 16S ribosomal RNA
Rfam family: Bacterial large subunit ribosomal RNA
Source: RNAcentral
CCAACCCAGUUAUUGAAGGUGAUGCCUGCCCAGUGACUUUGUUUAACGGCCGCGGUAUCCUAACCGUGCAAAGGUAGCGCAAUCAAUUGUCUCAUAAAUCGAGACCUGUAUGAACGGCUAAACGAGGUCCUAGCUGUCUCCCGCAGAUAAUCAGUGAAAUUGAUCUUCCCGUGCAAAAGCGAGAAUAAAUACAUAAGACGAGAAGACCCUGUGGAACUUAAAAAUCAGUAGUCACCUCUACGCCAACCUCACCCUACCAGGGCUCCCGCUACUAGAAUGCUGACUAACAUUUUUUGGUUGGGGCAACCUUGGAGAAAAGCAAAUCCUCCAAAAACAAGACCACCCCUCUUAACUGAGAACAACCCCUCGACGUGCUAACAGUAACCAGACCCAAUACGAUUGAUCAAUGGACCAAGCUACCCCAGGGAUAACAGCGCAAUCUCCUCCAAGAGCCCAUAUCGACAAGGAGGUUUACGACCUCGAUGUUGGAUCAGGACACCCUAAUGGUGCAGCCGCUAUUAAGGGUUCGUUUGUUCAACGAUUAACAGUCCUACGUGAUCUGAUUU